CCCGGUGACGCUAGCGGAGAGGUCACACCCGUUCCCAUCCCGAACACGGAAGUUAAGCUCUCCAGCGCCGAAGAUACUCGGGGGGCAACUCCCUGGGAAAAUAGGUCGUCGCCGGGA
RNAcentral lists this ribosomal RNA (117 nucleotides) under Chloroflexota bacterium. The record is from RNAcentral. Lineage: Bacteria; Bacillati; Chloroflexota. RNAcentral also lists the same sequence under 1 other name.